This 1042-nucleotide long non-coding RNA is filed under the name Fukomys damarensis (Damara mole-rat). RNAcentral's name for it is "lncRNA (ENSFDAG00000033622.1)". Lineage: Eukaryota; Metazoa; Chordata; Mammalia; Rodentia; Bathyergidae. The record is from RNAcentral.
UGUGGAUGAUUGACACGUAGGCCUGCCCACUUAGACUUACCCUAGAUGUGGGUGGCACCAACCAAUCGGCUUGCAUCCUGGACAGAAUAAAAAGGUGGGAGAGCUCCGGUUUUCACCACUGUCUUUGGACACCAAUCUUCAAUUUCUUCAGCCUUGCAAUGCAGACUUACAGGAAGGACUACAUUGAGGUUGUAGGUUUUUGACCUUGGACUGGGGCUGCUCCCCCCACCCCCCGAUCCCUCCCUUUUGUUCUGCAGCUUCUGCAUUCUUGGGCUGAGCUCCUAAUGAAUUCUCUGGCUCUUCUGCACGCAGAUGGCCAUGGCGGAGAUUCACUUUUCUCAACUGUAAAAUUGAGGGGGGCAUGGGGGCCCUGAAUCCCUUUGCUGGUCUACAACCCUGCUGUUUGCUCAUGUGACUUCCUCUGCCUGGAAUGUCCUUCCUGCUCCUGGCUAUUCCUACACACUGGGAAUCAGGCUUAUUAACAUUCACUGUAACCUUUCCCGAGUUUCUCUUUCCUCUGCAGGUUUUCUCUCCUCUCUGGGCACCUAGCGCCUUCUACUUCUGCACUGAGGUUGCUGGUGAACCCAGAGUUCGUCACGGUAAUGUUGAAAUUCGUCAGGGAAGGACCUGCCUUGGAUUGAUGUUCACUCCUUUGAGGUCCGGCAAGAUUUAGAUGGGUGAAAUGAGCCAGCCCCACUCUUGUGCUGGCUUGAUCAGCUCUGAGCCGGGAGAGGGACCCCAGCAGAGGAGUCUUGCUUGCCAUGUAUGGAAGGAGGUGGAGGAUGGACACAUGGGAGGCCUGAGCUCAGGCUGUUGGUUCACGGCCUUGCCCAGGAGUGGGCAGCCCUGCUGUGUAGGACAUUUUCCUGGUGCCCUGCCUGGCUCGCCUUCAUUGGGUGGUGUGUCCCUCUCCAAGCUGUUGUGCAUGCCGGCUGCUAACAGCUCUCAGCUGCUGAGGGAAUUGUUCUUGGUGGCAGGUGCCAUCUCCCCUAGGAGGUCAUGCUUGCUGUCUCAUCUGUGGAACAGAACAGAUAAUGACUGA